UGAGUACAAUCUAAAUCCCUUA
This 22-nucleotide non-coding RNA is filed under the name Arabidopsis thaliana (thale cress). Lineage: Eukaryota; Viridiplantae; Streptophyta; Magnoliopsida; Brassicales; Brassicaceae. The record is from RNAcentral.